This 385-nucleotide ribosomal RNA is filed under the name uncultured bacterium. Its description in RNAcentral is "bacterial SSU rRNA". It matches the Rfam family "Bacterial small subunit ribosomal RNA", at positions 30 to 416 of the family's 1533-position model. The record is from RNAcentral.
AUUGAACGCUGGCGGCAUGCCUUAUACAUGCAAGUCGAACGGUAACGGGCCUUCGGGUGCCGACGAGUGGCGAACGGGUGAGUAAUGCAUCGGGAACGUACCUUUCAGUGGGGGAUAACGUAGCGAAAGUUACGCUAAUACCGCAUAUUCUGUGAGCAGGAAAGCAGGGGAUCGCAAGACCUUGCGCUGAUUGAGCGGCCGAUGUCAGAUUAGCUAGUUGGUGAGGUAAAGGCUCACCAAGGCGACGAUCUGUAGCGGGUCUGAGAGGAUGAUCCGCCACACUGGAACUGAGACACGGUCCAGACUCCUACGGGAGGCAGCAGUGGGGAAUUUUGGACAAUGGGGGCAACCCUGAUCCAGCCAUGCCGCGUGAGUGAAGAAGGCC